CUCGUAGCUUGCUAUGAGAACAAUUGGUGGCAGACGGGUGAGUAAUGCAUAGGAAUCUACCUAGUAGUAUAGGAUAGCCACUAGAAAUGGUGGGUAAUACUGUAUAAUCCCUGCGGGGGAAAGAUUUAUCGCUACAUGAUGAGCCUAUGUUAGAUUAGCUAGUUGGUGGGGUAAUGGCCUACCAAGGCAGUGAUCUAUAGCUGGUCUGAGAGGAUGAUCAGCCACACUGGAACUGAGACACGGUCCAGACUCCUACGGGAGGCAGCAGUGGGGAAUAUUGGACAAUGGGCGCAAGCCUGAUCCAGCUAUGCCGCGUGAGUGAGGAAGGCCUUAGGGUUGUAAAACUCUUUCAGUGGGGAAGGUAAUGACGGUACCCACAGAAGAAGUCCCGGCAAACUCCGUGCCAGCAGCCGCGGUAAUACGGAGGGGGCAAGCGUUGUUCGGAAUUAUUGGGCGUAAAGGGCAUGUAGGUGGUUUGGUUAGUUAAAGGUGAAAUGCCAGGGCUUAACCCUGGAGCUGCUYYUAAUACUGCCAGACUGGAGUCCGGGAGA
Molecule: ribosomal RNA, 551 nt
Filed under: Anaplasma bovis
Lineage: Bacteria; Pseudomonadati; Pseudomonadota; Alphaproteobacteria; Rickettsiales; Anaplasmataceae
Description: bacterial SSU rRNA
Rfam family: Bacterial small subunit ribosomal RNA
Source: RNAcentral